GACGAACGCUGGCGGCGUGCCUAAUACAUGCAAGUAGAACGCUGAAGGAGGAGCUUGCUUCUCUGGAUGAGUUGCGAACGGGUGAGUAACGCGUAGGUAACCUGCCUGGUAGCGGGGGAUAACUAUUGGAAACGAUAGCUAAUACCGCAUAAGAGUAGAUGUCGCAUGACAUUUGCUUAAAAGGUGCAAUUGCAUCACUACCAGAUGGACCUGCGUUGUAUUAGCUAGUUGGUGAGGUAACGGCUCACCAAGGCAACGAUACAUAGCCGACCUGAGAGGGUGAUCGGCCACACUGGGACUGAGACACGGCCCAGACUCCUACGGGAGGCAGCAGUAGGGAAUCUUCGGCAAUGGACGGAAGUCUGACCGAGCAACGCCGCGUGAGUGAAGAAGGUUUUCGGAUCGUAAAGCUCUGUUGUAAGAGAAGAACGAGUGUGAGAGUGGAAAGUUCACACUGUGACAGUAUCUUACCAGAAAGGGACGGCUAACUACGUG
This 495-nucleotide ribosomal RNA is filed under the name uncultured bacterium. RNAcentral's name for it is "partial 16S ribosomal RNA". It matches the Rfam family "Bacterial small subunit ribosomal RNA", at positions 28 to 507 of the family's 1533-position model. The record is from RNAcentral.